UUGAACUGAAGAGUUUGAUCAUGGCUCAGAUUGAACGCUGGCGGCAGGCCUAACACAUGCAAGUCGAGCGGAUGAAGGGAGCUUGCUCCUGAAUUCAGCGGCGGACGGGU
This 110-nucleotide ribosomal RNA is filed under the name Pseudomonas sp. NFIX46. RNAcentral's name for it is "partial 16S rRNA. Bacterial SSU". It matches the Rfam family "Bacterial small subunit ribosomal RNA", at positions 1 to 107 of the family's 1533-position model. Lineage: Bacteria; Pseudomonadati; Pseudomonadota; Gammaproteobacteria; Pseudomonadales; Pseudomonadaceae. The record is from RNAcentral.